GCGGACGUGGCGGAACGGUAGACGCGCCGGGCUUAGAACCCGGUUACCCCGACAAAAGGGUUCUGGGGGUUCAAAUCCCUCCGUCCGCA
Molecule: transfer RNA, 89 nt
Filed under: Alphaproteobacteria bacterium
Lineage: Bacteria; Pseudomonadati; Pseudomonadota; Alphaproteobacteria
Description: tRNA-Leu
Rfam family: tRNA
About the family: Transfer RNA (tRNA) molecules are approximately 80 nucleotides in length.
Source: RNAcentral